GCCACCUCUCCCUCUGCCACUCUCACGCCCGACGCCUCUCGCCGUCAUCGUCGCGGCCACCGUCGUCUCCGGCAUGCGGGAGCACAUCCAGGAGGUCCGCCGCGGCCGGCUUCGUCCGUCCCGGGGACUAGCUCAAGCCAGGACGCCCUCGAGCUGACGUCGUCUUCGUCCCCUUCGUCCGGCCGUCACCAACUCGCCGUCGUUGCGGUGGCUCCGGUCCACCCCGACCCUUCCUGAGCACGCCAAGGAUGCACUGUGAGCCCCUCCCCCAUCCCCCCUGCUUGCCCUCUCGAUCCGUUGCCGUAGCCGUCGUCCCCGAGUUCGUCCGAGAUCCCGCGUACGCGUACGCGUACAUACGUGCAUCCUGCCACUGCUCUCUGUCCUUGCUGCUGCCUUCGCUUUCCUGCCGCCGCCGCUAGCGCUAAUGCUUUGCGUUGCCACUGCUAGCUGCCGCUCCUGCUACCUGAUGCUACUGCCGCUGCUACUUGCCCAGCCUGUUGCUGUUGCUGCUGCCGCAAGCCGCUGCUCUGUUGGCUGCCGCUGUCGUCGGCGCUUCCUGCGUGUGCCCGCCAGAGCACCCCGGCCGCGCCAGCGCGUACGCGCGCCCGUCCGCCACGCGCGCGGCCUUGCCUCCCAUGCUACAGCGCCCGUGCCCGCGAGCCAGCUGCGGCUCGCCGCUGCCCGCUGCUGUUGUACUGAAUCUACUGCUGCUGCUGUUGAAUGCUACUGUAGAUGCUACUAGCUAGCCUUUCUAAUUCUACAUUGAUUAGACGUCUGAACUGCCCCUAAACUGCGGCAAAAUAACUGUCAACAAGAGUAAAAAUAAUAUGAGUAGAAAGUAUACAUGAGAAACUCCAUUUUAUCCCCCUGGACCAAAUCCCUUCGAUGCCUGGAUUAAAUCCUAUAAAAUUCGCAAAAUGCUAUGUUCAGAGAACAGAAUUAACCCCUAGCUACGUGCUGUGUGUGUGGCCGGCUUGGCCACGGCCGUGUGUAAACGGCCCUUGUUAGUGCUAGUUUAGGUUAGUGCUAGUUUAGGUUAGUAGUAGUUAAUCAGUAGUCUAUGUACAGAUGGCAUGUGGCCCCACUAGUUUAACUUAGUUUGGACUAAUUAAAUGGCACCUAUGACACUUACAUGUGGGCCACACCUGCCUCUUUGACUAGUCAAAUUUGACUUGGUCAAUUCGGAUUAAACUAAAUACAAAAAUCUAAAAAAAUUGUUAAAACUUUGAAAAAUCAUAUAAAAUAAACCGUAACUCCGAUUAAAAAGUUUUAUACAUGAAAAUUGCUCAGAACGACGAGACAGAUCCGAAUACGCGAUCCGUUCGUCUGCCACAUGCUCAUAACUACCUGAACAUGCAACUUUUUCCCUCCGUUUCAUCUGUCCGAAAAUGCCUAACUCUGGGAAAACUUUCCCGGAUGUUAUCCCCUUCGCCGGUAACGUGUAGCAUCGCGUUAGAACACGUCUAGCUCUUCCUGUUGUUCUGUUAUGGUCUUGCUUGCUAUGUAUUUACUGUUUCUUCCCUCUCUUCUCUCCGAUACACCCCGAGACCGCUGCCGAUGCCGCUGUGAUCGACUACGUCGACGACGACCCUCCUUGUCUGAGCAACCAGGCAAGCCCCCCUUCUAUCAUCCCAAUAUCGCCCAUUCUAUACUCUCAUGCUUGCAUUAGAUUUUGCUACUGUUAUUGUUUGCUCCUAUUCUGAUGCAUAGCCUGCUUUUGUACCUGCUUAUUGUUACCUACAUGUUUAUCCUAAACUGCUUAGUAUAGGUUGGUUAGUGAUCCAUCAGUGACCCCCACUUGCCCUUGUUGCCCCUGCUUCAUCAUCGACACCUCGAUCGACGUGAUCGACGACCAGAGCCCGACACCUCACAUCACAUCACGCCCCUUUUGUUGCUCGACUCUGCAGAGCUACUAUCGAGUGCCGAGGGUGAUCCCUCAUAACGCACUCCUGAUGAUAAUUCUGUAGUGUAGCUAUUCGGUCGUGGUCAUCGAGGGUGAUCUCCUCUUUCACCAUUCCCGAUACGGCUAUGUCGUUCAACACCUCAAGUGUGAACCUCGAGGGUGGUCCCUAUUACGUUCACCUUGAUGAUUACAUUGAGUGGAAUCCACCGGGGGUGAUUCCUCGGGUUUUCCCCUUGAUGUUUGGAGACACAGUUACCUUGACUUUACUGGAGACCGUUGUGAAAGCCGGGCGGGCCCGGAGAGCACCCGUGCGAUGUGACAGUGGCGGCUGGCUGUUUAGCGGUAUCACCCGGGAGGGGUGAUAGCUCCGGACUUGUCCCGACAGCCGUCACUCCUUUUAAUAAUGCACUAACAGGUUUGGGUAUUUGUUCUGAGUUGGCCUUUGGCCUUUACGCACUAACCAUCACGCGAGAAUAGUUAUGGGCCUCGACGUCGCAGUAUCAGCCGAAGCUUUGUCAGACGUCCAGUUCAGCAUUGUGGCACGGUCGGAUCGUGCUGGCCAUCCGAGGCGGUGCUGGUAUCCACCCUGCACACAACGAUCCGGAGUGCAACAGGCGAUGGGCCCAGACCCCCGAGUGCUUAGGAUGUAGACCGACGGGGACCUCUCUGCUGAGCCUAGGUCGGGCUGCGACGUGUUGAUCUUCCGAGGGCGGGCAUUGACCCCAGAUAGGUGUGUCCGGCCAGAGUGAUCGAGCGUGUUGGGUAACGUGGUGCACCCCUGCAGGGAAGUUAUAUAUUCGAAUACCGUGUCCACGGUAAUGGACGUUCAGACUUAUAUCCUGAUCUUAUACAACUACAAAUGGAUACUUGAGAUAUGUGGCUCCGGGAUUGCUUUCUCGCAGGGAGUCGAGGAAGGAUCUCUGGGCAUUAAUGUUACAACAUGCUUGUUAAUUAUAAACUGCUAUUCUUUACUCUUCUACAUGCUGCAAGAUGCUCGGAGCUGCGUGAAGAUGCUAGUCUUCGAUAGGCUAGGCUUCCCCCCUCUAUUCUGGCAUUCUGCAGUUCAGUCCACAGAUACAACCCUUCCAUUUGAUACAAAUGCAUACUUAGUAUAGAUCUGAUGUUUGCGAGUACUUUGGAUGAGUACUCACGGUUGCUUUGCUACCCCUUUCCCCCCUCUUUCUUCUUUCCGGUUGAUGCAACCAGAUGGUGGAUCCUUGGAGCCAGAUGCCACCGCCGACGAAUACUACUACAUGGAGGCCGACGAAGACCAGGAGUAGUUAGGAGGUCCCAGGCAGGAGGCCUUGCCUCUUCGAUCGUGUUGCUUUUGUGCUAGCCUUCUUAAGGCAAAACUUGUUUAACUUAUGUCAGUACUUAGAUAUUGUUGCUUCCGCUGAUUCUUGUGUAUCGAGCUAUGUAUUCGAGCCCUCGAGGCCCCUGGCUUGUAAUAUAAAGCUUGUAUUAUUUUAUUUGUGUCUAGAGUUGUGUUGUGAUAUCUUCCCGUGAGUUCCUGAUCUUGAUCGUACACGUGUAUGAUUAGUGUACGAUUAAAUCGGGGGCGUCACAAGUUGGUAUCAGAGCCGACUGCCUGUAGGAACCCCCUUUUCAACUCGUUGGCCGAAGUUGAGUCUAGUUUUGAAAAAACGGUUUUACUAACAUGGCUGUGUGGCUUACGGGCCCACGUCACCAAUUGGGUGGUAUUAGGAUCUUUUAUUCCUCGUCUAUACUCUGGGAAUCUGAUCUCUCUUUUAUUCGGGUUAAAUGGUUUUGCUAACUCUACCCUAGGUUCUCGUGCUCACAUCCACCCGGAGAUUUGUAUCUUUCCUUUCUUGAAUUCGGAGCCAAGAUCUGCUUCACAAUGUUCACUGACAUUAGGAUCCUCUUAUCGUGGGCACACUGUGUCGUCACUUGCAAAUCCCUCACUCUAGUGGUUAUCUUCGACGUUGAUGUAGCCGUUGCUAUGCCCCGUUGUUGAAUCCCUCCAUCGCGUGCAUACGUGCCGCCUAGUAUGUCUGGAUGUUUCUCUUGUCCGAACUCAUACGAACAAUGUGCAAUUGGCCCCACAUAUGUAUCAGUAUGUCCUUAUUGACUACUGCUUGGUACAUACUGCGCCUUUCCUCAUUGUUCUGAUUACAUCAUGAAUGACUCCACACACUUGCUCCACCCCUUGCUAAACUACCCCUGUUGCUUUUAAGCAGGGUGGUUAGACCCGCUGGUCAUGGUCGUGCUGGUAACAAUCCACCACCUCCCAAAUACAUGGCCGGAAUGGUACAACAGUUGAGCUGAAUCGCCAGUUCAUGAAAAGGAGUCAUGGCUCAGUUUGCGCAUCCCAAUAUGAACCAGCAACCAGCCCCAGCAACUCUGCGAGACUUUGCACGUCUCAACCCUGUCUUUGACCGUAGCUCAACUCAGCCCCUUGAUGCUGAUGAUUGGCUCCUUGAGAUCACUUUCGAGUUGGUGUCUACUAUGUAGCCCCUGCCAACUAUGUCACCUUCGCGGCUUACUACCUGAAAGGUCCCGCUACUCAAUGGUGGGACAGCCACAGGCGUUCCUUACCUGUUGGAACCGCCAUCACCUGGCCGGAAUUUCAAGCUGCAUUCCACGGGACAAUGUCGAACCACUAUGGUUAGCCUCAACGUCCCCGUUGAAAAUGAAGGGCCCGAAUUCCAUGUUUCCCCCAUUGUUUUGAAGUCUUCCUAUAUUGACCUCACUCUGGGAAUGGAAUGAUUGAAAACCCGUACCACUUCUAUCAAUUGCGCCAUUAAGACCGUCCAUCUACUACAUCCCUCAAGUGAGAUAGUAAGCUACCAUGCUCAUCUUGUUUGUAAUGCCGAAGCACAGAUUUAUUCCUUGAAUGCGUAAACGCUUCCCCUCUUGUGAGAAUUGAAAAUGCUCCCGUCGUAUGUGAAUUCCAGAAUGUCUUUCCAAAAGAACUACCCAGUCCAUGACCUUGAACUUGCUACAUUUAAGUUUGCACUAAAAUUGUGGCAACAUUUCCUUCUUGGUAAUCGUUGCGAGAUCUUUACCGAUCAUCAAAGUCUGAAGUAAUUCUUUACUCAGCUAGAUCUGGAUCUCCGUCAGCAGCGAUGCAUGGAAAAAAUCAUAGACUAUGACUAUGGUAUUUCUUAUACUCCAGCAAGGCUAGUGAGAUGGCUGAUGCCCUGAGUCGCAAGCCUUUUGCAACAACUCCAUGGCUUAUACAGCUCAACCCCUCCAGGAUGAUCUCGCUUAAAGAGAGCAUCCGAUCCGCGAUCUCGUUCAAGCUGAACGUCGCACUCGUCUGAGGGCUAUCAAAUUCUUAAAGUUCAAUGGUCAAAUCAUUCUGAAGAUGAAGUCACUUUGGAACUCGAGGUUCAUCUUCGAGAUGAAUACGCCGUUUAGUUUCCUUCUACCUCCUAAAAUCUCAGGACGAGAUUUCUUGUAGUGAAGGAGAAUGGUGAUGCCCGGAUAAUUAAGCUACAGUAAUUCCCCACUAAUGGUGCCAUGUCAUUACAUUACUGUUGCUGAUCCUCGCUUGAUCCAAAUCUUAGUUCAAACUCAAAUUCAAAUUAAAGCCUAGCAUUCAAAUUUCUCAAACAUGCAAAAUAAAAUGUUUAAAGUGUGGAAAAUAUUCCAUAACUAAUUAUGGUGGUGGCCCAACACUUUUGUAACAUACUUAAAUGCCCUUUGUGAAUAUAACAGUGACUAAAAAGAAUUUUUAAAUGCUUUUUAAAUUAUAAAAAUACUAAACUAUUUUAUUUGAACCUCAAACUAAAUAUGGAAGUGGUAUAAUUAGUGAAACCAAUUUAGGUGGUGUUACUAUAUAUUAUAGAGCUAAUUUGGAAUACAAAAAUAAAAGAAAACAAAACAAGACAGAAAUAAAACAAAAGACCCCUCCCUUGGGACACCCGGCCUAGCUACCUAGAGGGCCUGCACAGCCCAGCCCAACACCCCCUGUUUUCCCUUCCUCCCGCUACAGAAGCAGAGGAUGCCGUGGCGGCCAUCCACGGCGCCAUGGACGCGGUGGCGACCAUCGGCGCCCCCCUCCCGCCUAUUUAGCCGACCCCCGGCGCCCCCUUCUCCCCCUGGAACCCUAAACCCUAUCCCCUCGCGCCCCCUCUCCCUCUGCCACUCUCACGCCCGACGCCUCUCGCCGUCAUCGUCGCGGCCACCGUCGUCUCCGGCAUGCGGGAGCACGUCCAGGAGGUCCGCCGCGGCCGGCUUCGUCCGUCCCGGGGACUAGCUCAAGCCGGGACGCCCUCGAGCUGACGUCGUCUUCGUCCCCUUCGUCCGGCCGUCACCAACUCGCCGUCGUUGCGGUGGCUCCGGUCCACCCCGACCCUUCCUGAGCACGCCAAGGAUGCACUGUGAGCCCCUCCCCGACCCCCCUGCUUGCCCUCUCGAUCCGUUGCCGUAGCCGUCGUCCCCGAGUUCGUCCGAGAUCCCGCGUACGCGUACAUACGUGCAUCCUGCCACUGCUCUCUGUCCUUGCUGCUGCCUUCGCUUUCCUGCCGCCGCCGCUAGGGCUAAUGCUUUGCGUUGCCACUGCUAGCUGCCGCUCCUGCUACCUGAUGCUACUGCCGCUGCUACUUGCCCAGCCUGUUGCUGUUGCUGCUGCCGCAAGCCGCUGCUCUGUUGGUUGCCGCUGUCGUCGGCGCUUCCUGCGUGUGCCCGCCAGAGCACCCCGGCCGCGCCAGCGCGUACGCGCGCCCGUCCGCCACGCGCGCGGCCUUGCCUCCCAUGCUACAGCGCCCGUGCCCGCGAGCCAGCUGCGGCUCGCCGCUGCCCGCUGUUGUUGUACUGAAUCUAUUGCUGCUGCUGUUGAAUGCUACUGUAGAUGCUACUAGCUAGCCUUUCUAAUUCUACAUUGAUUAGCCAUCUGAACUGCCCCUAAACUGCGGCAAAAUAACUGUCAACAAGAGUAAAAAUAAUAUGAGUAGAAAGUAUACAUGAGAAACUCCAUUUUAUCCCACUGGACCAAAUCCCUUCGAUGCCUGAAUUAAAUCCUAUAAAAUUCGCAAAAUGCUAUGUUGAGAGAACAGAAUUAACCCUAGCUACGUGCUGUGUGUGCGGCCGGCUUGGCCACGGCCGUGUGUAAACGGCCCUUGUUAGUGCUAGUUUAGGUUAGUAGUAGUUAAGUAGUCUAUGUACAGAUGGCAUGUGGCCCCACUAGUUUAACUUAGUUUGGACUAAUUAAAUGGCACCUAUGACACUUACAUGUGGGCCACACCUGCCUCUUUGACUAGUCAAAUUUGACUUGGUCAAUUCGGAUUAAACUAAAUACAAAAAUCUAAGAAAAUUGUUAAAACUUUGAAAAAUCAUAUAAAAU
RNAcentral lists this long non-coding RNA (7211 nucleotides) under Triticum aestivum (bread wheat). RNAcentral's name for it is "long non-coding RNA (TAES_LNC003395)". Lineage: Eukaryota; Viridiplantae; Streptophyta; Magnoliopsida; Poales; Poaceae. The record is from RNAcentral.